RNAcentral lists this ribosomal RNA (328 nucleotides) under uncultured Lachnospiraceae bacterium. RNAcentral's name for it is "bacterial SSU rRNA". It matches the Rfam family "Bacterial small subunit ribosomal RNA", at positions 355 to 700 of the family's 1533-position model. Lineage: Bacteria; Bacillati; Bacillota; Clostridia; Lachnospirales; Lachnospiraceae. The record is from RNAcentral.
UGGGGAAUAUUGCACAAUGGAGGAAACUCUGAUGCAGCGACGCCGCGUGAGUGAAGAAGUAAUUCGUUAUGUAAAGCUCUAUCAGCAGGGAAGAUAGUGACGGUACCUGACUAAGAAGCUCCGGCUAAAUACGUGCCAGCAGCCGCGGUAAUACGUAUGGAGCAAGCGUUAUCCGGAUUUACUGGGUGUAAAGGGAGUGUAGGUGGCCAUGCAAGUCAGAAGUGAAAAUCCGGGGCUCAACCCCGGAACUGCUUUUGAAACCGUAAGGCUGGAGUGCAGGAGGGGUGAGUGGAAUUCCUAGUGUAGCGGUGAAAUGCGUAGAUAUUAG